UUUAGGGGUAAAGCACUGUUUCGGUGCGGGCUGGUAAAACGGUACCAAAUCGAGGCAAACUAAGAAUACUAAAUGAAUAAUUUACCAGUGAGACUGUGGGGGAUAAGCUCCAUUGUCAAGAGGGAAACAGCCCAGAGCACCAGUUAAGGCCCCAAAAUGAUUGCUAAGUGGCAAAGGAGGUGGGAGUGCAUAGACAAUCAGGAGGUUUGCUUAGAAGCAGCAAUCCUUUAAAGAGUGCGUAAUAGCUCACUGAUCGAGUAAACCUGCGCCGAAAAUGUACGGGACUAAGUAAUCUGCCGAAACUGUGCGAUAUAUAAAUAAUUAAUAUAUCGGUAGGGGAGCGUUCUGUUGUAGGUCGAAGUAUUAGCGUAAGCGGAUAUGGACGAAGCAGAAGUGAGAAUGUCGGCUUGAGUAACGAAAAUAUAGGUGGGAAUCCUAUACCCCGAAAACCCAAGGUUUCCUCCGGAAGGCUCGUCCGCGGAGGGUAAGUCAGGACCUAAGGCGAGGCUGAAAAGCGUAGUCGAUGGACAACGGGUUAAUAUUCCCGUACCAUUUUUUACUGAUAUCGAGGGACGGAGAAGGCUAAGCUAGCCGGAUAUUGGUUACCGGUUUAAGCGUUCGAGGUGUUGAGAAACGGAGAAAACGUUUUGAGCUGAGACGUGAAUACGAGACGCUAAGGCGUCGAAGUAGUGUAUGUCAGACUUCCAAGAAAAGCUCGCACUGUCAUAGGUAAAAAAUGCCUGUACCAUAACCGACACAGGUGGGUAGGUAGAGUAUACUAAGGGGCGCGAGAUAACUCUCUCUAAGGAACUCGGCAAAAUGACUCCGUAACUUCGGGAGAAGGAGUGCCUUAUUUAUAAGGUUGCAAUAACAAGAUCCAAGCAACUGUUUACCAAAAACACAGGUCUCCGCUAAGUCGUAAGACGAUGUAUGGGGGCUGACGCCUGCCCAGUGCCAGAAGGUUAAAGAAGUUGGUUAGCAUUAGCGAAGCUGAUAACUGAAGCCCUGGUGAACGGCGGCCGUAACUAUAACGGUCCUAAGGUAGCGAAAUUCCUUGUCGGGUAAGUUCCGACCCGCACGAAAGGCGUAAUGAUUUGGAUACUGUCUCGGAGAGAGGCUCGGUGAAAUAGACUUGUCUGUGAAGAUGCGGACUACCUGCACCUGGACAGAAAGACCCUAUGAAGCUUUACUGUAACUUGAAAUUGAAAUUGGACUUUAGUCGCGCAGCAUAGGUGGGAAGCGUUGAGCAUAUUCUUGCGGGAAUAUAGGAGCUAUCAGUGAGAUACCACUCUUCUAAUGUUAGAUUUCUAACCUUGAACCAUUAUCUGGUCAAGGAACAGUUUCAGGCGGGCAGUUUGACUGGGGCGGUCGCCUCCCAAAUGGUAACGGAGGCGUACAAAGGUUUCCUCUGAACGGAUAGAAAUCGUAUCUAGAGUAUAAAGGCAUAAGGAAGCUUGACUGUGAGACCUACAAGUCGAGCAGGGACGAAAGUCGGUCUUAGUGAUCUGACGGUACUGAGUGGAAAGGCCGUCACUCAACGGAUAAAAGUUACUCUAGGGAUAACAGGCUGAUCUCCCCCAAGAGUUCACAUCGACGGGGAGGUUUGGCACCUCGAUGUCGGCUCAUCGCAUCCUGGGGCGGUAGUACGUCCCAAGGGUUGGGCUGUUCGCCCAUGAAAGCGGUACGCGAGCUGGGUUCAGAACGUCGUGAGACAGUUCGGUCCAUAUCCGGUGUAGGCGUUAGAAUAUUGAGAGGAGCCUUCUUUAGUACGAGAGGACCGAGAAGGACAUACCUCUGGUGUACCAGUUAUCGUGCCAACGGUAAACGCUGGGUAGCUAUGUAUGGAGUGGAUAACCGCUGAAAGCAUCUAAGUGGGAAGCCCACCUCAAGAUGAGUAUUCUCAUCACGUAAGUGAGUAAGGUCACGGUAAGACUAACCGUUUGAUAGGCGUUAAGUGUAAGCGUAGUAAUGCGUGUGCUGAGACGUCCUAACAGACCGAGGACUUG
RNAcentral lists this ribosomal RNA (2006 nucleotides) under Extubocellulus spinifer. Its description in RNAcentral is "partial Bacterial large subunit ribosomal RNA". It matches the Rfam family "Bacterial large subunit ribosomal RNA", at positions 895 to 2925 of the family's 2925-position model. Lineage: Eukaryota; Bacillariophyta; Thalassiosirophyceae; Cymatosirales; Cymatosiraceae. The record is from RNAcentral.